This is a long non-coding RNA of Panicum virgatum (switchgrass), 3495 nucleotides long. RefSeq lists it as uncharacterized. The record is from RefSeq and is a predicted model, not a curated record. Lineage: Eukaryota; Viridiplantae; Streptophyta; Magnoliopsida; Poales; Poaceae. The transcript is spliced from 5 exons.
GCGCCCGUGGCUCGAACCCCCUCUCUUUUUCCUUUUUUUCCCUCUCCUCUCUUCUCUUUUUUCGCCGAGAGCAUCGGCAUCCUGCGCGGCGGGCGCUAGGGCCGGCGCCCAGAUCUCCCCCUCCCUCCUCCUCGCUCGCCCGCGUCGCUUGCUCGCGCCGCCCGUCGCGGCCGCCCUCGCCCGCACCAGCCACCACUGCGUGCUCUGGCGUACGUGAGGAGGGCGCCGCUCGCCCGUGCUGAAAGGCGCCGAGGCUGAAGCGGGCGCCUCCUGCGCGGGUGCGCCACACGUUUCCGGCCACCGCCGGCCGUGAGCCUCCCUCCCAUCCUCUCUCCCUCCCUCCCCUCUGGCGACGGCCUCUGCACGGGCGGUCCACCGGCAGAUCUUGGGGUGCCAGGCCUGGGGCCAGCGAGCCGUGGCCGGAUCUCGGGGCGGCCCAUCCCGGGCGCCGCCGCCAACAGGGGGAGGACGAGGUGGAGGCCACCGGGCACUGCACGGGCGGUCCGCAGGCGGCGGAACAAACGCCUAGGCCGCCAGCACUCGGUCCCCAUCCCGCUCGCGCCGCCCUCGCCCUCCCCGUCCCGCUCGUGCCGCCCUCACCCUCCCCGUCACGCUCGCGCCGCCCUCGCCCUCCUCCGCCAAGGCGCCAACCCACGCACCUCGUGCUCCACCCCUACCUCUCGUUCUGGGUGCUAUGGUGUUUGAUAGAUUUUUUUGGUGAGUUUUGCAGGAAAGGUUGGGUUGCGAAUCUAAUUUUGGGAAAAGGCAGGUGGCUUUCGCUGCCAUUGCAGCCAAUCUGUUCGAAUAUUUGAUUGCUUCAAACUUUUUGUUUGUACUCCUUUGAGCUCUUACCUACUGAAUAUUGAUUCCUUUGUGCCCUUUUGCAUAUCCUGGUGAUCUCUACCACUCUGCAAUUCUGUCUUGCAUUUCUUUUUUUUUAAGUAACUGUCUUGCAUUUCUGACUUAGAUCUCUAGGGGCUCUUCACUUCACUUCUUGCUGGAUUCGAACCUGGGACCUGUGUCAAUGUUAGUGGGACUAAUAUGUCAAGUCAAUUCAGUCUCAUGAUUUCCUGCCUUGGUCUCAAGAAUGAAGAAAUAAAAUUCCAAUUGGGGGCAAUGAUCAACAAUGAUGUCUGAGAUAAGCACCUUUGAUUAAUGAGGGUGGCUGUUGGCAUUUAAGUGGAAUCCUCUGUCCUCUCUUGUAAACCUUUCAACUAUGCUCAAAUGGUUUUGUUCUUGGAUGGUCAUGCCAUUUUUCAUGGAUGAUAACCAGGACAACUCCACUUAUUUGAACAGGUUGAUCUGGUGAUAAGAGAAGGCGCGGAUAUAGUUAUAUGAUCGAGCAAAGGUGAAGCUGAGCCCACUCAAAUAUUUUACUGCUACCCACACAGUACCUUAUGUAAUUUGUUUCUUUAGUUGAAUAUGUUUUUUGUAUAACUUUUUUGCUAAAUUAUUUUCCUUUUCUUACACCUGCCUAACUUCAUGCAGUUACCUUCUACCUUGCUGCAAUAUCAGUGCUUCCCCUGCAUGAAAAUACUUUCAGUUACCUUCUGUUAUCUCAAUAUUUCUCGCAAUGAUUCUAUUGCUUUUUAGAAUCCCUGAAUUGCUGUUACCUUUAGUGUUUUGCUCAAUUUGCUGCAAAACUAGGAUGGCUUGUACCAUUACAAGUAACCAGUUUUGCAACUAAUUGUUGUCAUUUCUACUGCUUCGACGGCGGCGGCGGCGGUUGUGUAGCAGUAGUACAUAUUGCAAUGAAUGAUCCUACUUAAAAAGUUCAUUUCAGAGGGAGGGAGGGAGUACAUGGUUAAAUUAAAUUUGUGUAAUUUAUUUAGAUUAAAUUACUUGAUUUAGGAGAUUAGCUUUGUCAACGAAACAAGGACAAUAGCCACUUCUCAUUUGAGUUCAUUAUUCUGACAUUUGGCAGCUACUUUUGCCACCCCAUACUAUAUCUCAUAAUGAUGCCUUUUCUUUUUCGUGCCAUAUUCAAAUGCUAGCUCGAAAUCUAUUAAAUCUGUUACUCACGCAUAUUCAUCUCUAGCUAGUAGAGCUGUCUUUCUCUCCUGCAUAUCACUUGUUCAAUAUAAAAGCAUGACUUAAUGAGUUUUUUCCAGAAGUGACCAAUAUUCAUAUCAUAAAGAUAUUCAAUGGUGAUGAAGCACGCUAUAUAAACGAGUUGGCUGAAUGAAGAAUCAUAUGGCUCUGAAUCAAUCAAUUGAUGAGAUACUUUAAAGAAAAUAUAUUGGACAGACACCUUUGCCAGUUCUACUUUUGUUCAAAACCAGUCCAACAUACAGUUAAGAUUUGUUGUUCUGAUGAUUUACUAUGGCGGUGCUGUUCCCAGAUCUUUGAUCCGCAGAGAAAAGGACAGAAACAUUAGGUAAUCCUUUGAACUUUGUCGUAUUAGGUAAUCUCUUUGGCUUGAUUCAGUCUCUAUUUUUCAUUUGCUGCUGCUGCUGAAUGUUUAUUAAACCAAAGGAUUAUUUGUUUACCAUUUUUUAAGUGCAACCAUCCUUUUGGGUAUACCAGCAUACAUCAAACCAUGGCCCUCUGGACCGAUGUGGACUUUAAGCUGAAAGCUGCUUACUUGAAAAGAUAUCACUGGACCAUGCUGAAAGCUGAAAGCUGAAAUAUUAAGUAGACUGUUUUAGCUUGCUAGGUUGCCAAAUGUUACAUAUUCUUAGAAAAAUGGACUUUUUACCCUCAACAUAAUAACUGUUACAUAUCCUUUGUGUGAAACAUAUAUUUCUCAUUUUGGACUAUGGAUCGGAUCAUGUGUUCUUUUUUAUGUCUAAAAUUUAUCCGUGGCGUUAGCACGCGCUGCGAAUCUGAUUUUGGGAAAAGGCAGGUGAUUUCACCUCAUCUCUUUCCCUUUCUUUUGAUUUCAUGUCAAUCUGAUUAGUGUAAGUUGUAAUGCUUGUUUGUUUCUAAACAUGACUCAAUCUUUACUCUUUAGUGACCAUAUGGAGUGAUGAUUAAAUCAGUGGACUGAUGGUUUCAUGGUUCAAUCAACUACAUGGUUUCAAAUGCUUCAUAUAUGAGCUCCUUUUAUAUUCAGUUGUUGCCUUUUUGUUUUGCCAUAUUCAACGCCAUCCAACGAUCCAUGUUUUAAGGAUCAUCAUGAUCAAAUGAUGAUAAUAUUUUUCUGAGACCCCUAAGACCUGUUCUUUGUCUUGUUAUGUUAACAAGACAUGGUGGAUAACUGGAUAUGCUCUGAUGAUCAAAUAUCUUGUGAGAAACGGCUGAAACAAGUGGAGGCCUAGAGAGGACUGGGCUAUCAUCAGUAAUAGAUAUACUGGCACAUGAUGUCCAUGAGCUUCUUACAAGGUAAAGCAAUCCGGAGAAGGUAAAUUGCAGUAUGGCAUUUUCACUUUGGAACAAUUCUAGCUGAAUUUGGUCUCUGCCUGUUAUAAAAUGUGAUUCAGCUCAAACAUUCAUGAACAUGCUGUUCAGAUGCCAUAUGUCGAGAAUAAUUUAUUAGCUCAGAUACCGAGCUUC